Molecule: ribosomal RNA, 2839 nt
Filed under: Fibrella aquatilis
Lineage: Bacteria; Pseudomonadati; Bacteroidota; Cytophagia; Cytophagales; Spirosomataceae
Description: 23S ribosomal RNA
Rfam family: Bacterial large subunit ribosomal RNA
Source: RNAcentral
CAAAAGGGCACCUGGGGGAUGCCUUGGCUUCUACAGGCGAGGAAGGACGUGGCAAGCGACGAAACGCUGCGGGGACCGGCUGGCACGGGCUGAUCCGCAGGUAUCCGAAUGGGGCAACCCGGCGGUCUGAAGGACCGUCAUUCAUGUGUUACGCAUGAAGGCUCACCCGCUGAACUGAAACAUCUAAGUAGGCGGAGGAAAAGAAAACAAUCAGUGAUGGCGUCAGUAGUGGCGAGCGAACGCGCUAGAGCCCAAACCAGGCUCGUUACGGCGGGACUGGGGUUAUAGGACUUUGCAUCAAGCAUCAUGAUCAACACGAAUGGUCUGGGAAGGCCAACCGCAGGGGGUGAGAGUCCCGUAGUGAUCAUAUCAGGGUGUGGGCGGAGUAUCCUGAGUAGGGGGGAGCCGGAGGGACUCCCUCUGAAGUCGGCAGCACCAUCUGCCAAGGCUAAACACUGUAGAAGACCGAUAGGGAAGAGUACCGUGAGGGAAAGGUGAAAAGGACUGGGUGUACCAGGGUGAAACAGAACCUGAAACCAGGUGCCUACAAGCGGUCGGAGCCACGUAGAUGUGGUGACGGCGUGCCUUUUGCAUAAUGAGCCUACGAGUAACGGUCACUAGCGAGGUUAAGGAAGUGGACUUCCGGAGCCGAAGCGAAAGCGAGUCUGAAGAGGGCGAUGUAGUUAGUGGCUGUUGACGCGAAACUUGGUGAUCUACCCAUGGCCAGGUUGAAGGGGUGGUAACACACCCUGGAGGACCGCACCGAUAAACGUUGAAAAGUUUCCGGAUGAGUUGUGGGUAGGGGUGAAAGGCCAAUCAAACUGAGAAAUAGCUCGUACUCUCCGAAAUGUUUUUAGGAACAGCGUUCUGUGUUACCCCACUGGAGGUAGAGCGACCGAUUGAAUGCGGGGGUGUCAUAGCCUACCAACUUGAGUCGAACUCCGAAUGCCGGUGGGGGUGCAGGGCAGUGAGGGGCAGGGUGCUAAGGUCCUGCUCCGAGAGGGGAACAACCCAGACCAUCCGCUAAGGUCCCCAAGUGUGUGCUAAGUUGAACAAAGGUGGUCCGGCUGCCGAGACAGCCAGGAGGUUAGCUUGGAAGCAGCUAUUCCUUUAAAGAGUGCGUAACAGCUCACUGGUCGAGCGGGGCGGGCAUCGAUAAUAAACGGGCAUCAAGCACAGCACCGAAGCGGUGGAUCAUGACCAAGCGAGCUUGGUCAUUGAUGGUAGGAGAGCAUACGGCGGGGGGUGAAGUUGGCGCGUGAGCGCUGGUGGACCGCGUCGUAGAGCAAAUGUAGGCAUAAGUAACGAGAAGGAGGGUGGGAACCCCUCCCGCCGUAAGACCCAGGGUUCCCGGGCGACGGCAGUCACCCCGGGGUUAGUCGGGACCUAAUGGCCCAGCGAAAGCGCCGGUCAGAUGGCCAGCAGGUGAAUAGUCCUGCACUGCCUUAUCGUGUGAAUCACUGACAAAUUGCCGGACUCUGUGCGUGCUGCGGGAAUAGCGCGCUGAGCGGAGGCUACGGCUGAAGCGAACGGGGGAAGGGGGUUUCAAGAAAAGGUGGUGAAACGUCAGCGAUGAGGUACCCGUACCGUAAACCGACACAGGUGGUUGGGGCGAAUAGCCCAAGGCGCACGAGAGAAUCAUGGCCAAGGAACUCGGCAAGAUAACCCUGUAACUUCGGGAGAAGGGGGGCCUCCUCGCCUGCAAGGGUGAGAGGUUGCAGAGCAAAGGCCCAGGCGACUGUUUACCAAAAACACAGGACUCUGCCAAAUCGAGAGAUGACGCAUAGGGUCUGACACCUGCCCGGUGCUGGAAGGUUAAGGGGGGGGCUUAGCGCAAGCGAGGGUCUGAACUGAAGCCCCAGUAAACGGCGGCCGUAACUAUAACGGUCCUAAGGUAGCGAAAUUCCUUGUCGGGUAAGUUCCGACCUGCACGAAUGGUGUAACGAUCUGGGCACUGUCUCAGCCAUGAGCUCGGUGAAAUUGUAGUAGCGGUGAAGAUGCCGCUUACCCGCCACGGGACGGAAAGACCCCGUGCACCUUUACUACAGCUUAGUAUGGGGCGCUGGUGACGGAUGUGUAGGAUAGGCGGGAGGCGUUGAAGCGGUGUCGCCAGGCAUCGUGGAGCCAACCUUGAAAUACCGCCCUUUUGUCACUGGCUUUCUAACCUCUGAAUGGGGGGACAGUACUUGGUGGGUAGUUUGACUGGGGUGGUCGCCUCCGAAAGGGUAACGGAGGCUUCCCAAGGUUUGCUCAGGCCGGACGGUAAUCGGUCGGGGAGUGCAAUAGCAGAAGCAAGCUUGACAGUGAGGCACACAGGCCGAUCUGGUGCGAAAGCAGGGUAUAGUGAUCCGGUAGCGCUGCAUGGGUGGCCUAUCGCUCAAAGGAUAAAAGGUACGCCGGGGAUAACAGGCUGAUCUCCCCCAAGAGCUCACAUCGACGGGGAGGUUUGGCACCUCGAUGUCGGCUCGUCACAUCCUGGGGCUGGAGAAGGUUCCAAGGGUUCGGCUGUUCGCCGAUUAAAGUGGCACGCGAGCUGGGUUCAGAACGUCGUGAGACAGUUCGGUCCCUAUCUGUGGUGGGCGUGGGAUGAUUGCGGGGAUCUGUCCUUAGUACGAGAGGACCGGGAUGGACGCACCGCUGGCGCAUCGGUUGUAUUGCCCAGUGCAUGGCCGAGUAGCUACGUGCGGAUUGGAUAAGCGCUGACAGCAUCUAAGUGCGAAACCGACCCCAAGAUGAGUCAUCCGGUAAGAAAGGCUGUAGGAGACGACUACGUGGAUAGGCGGCAGGUGGAGGUGUGGAAACAUGCGGAGCCGAGCCGUACUAAUGUGCCUGUAAGGUU